GAUUUUUACAUGGGCUGAAAUUGAGAAGACAUUAAGUGGAUAUUUCCCAAAGUUUUACGUGAUUAUGUUUGAAUGCCUUUGUCGUAAUGCAGCCACAUUGGGAGAUAAACCGUUGAAGAUGAUGUCCCAUUUAGCUGAUGUUUCUGAUUUUCCGCGUCUUUGAAGAUGAGGUGGAUGGAGAUGGAGUGGGGGGCUUAUUUCAAGUCCAUUGUUGUUCAAUUGGACGAAAAAACCACAGGUUAUGUAGAUUUAGCAGAAAACAAAAGUAGUGCACUCAGUCGAG
This is a long non-coding RNA of Trifolium pratense (red clover), 283 nucleotides long. RefSeq lists it as uncharacterized. The transcript has 3 exons. Lineage: Eukaryota; Viridiplantae; Streptophyta; Magnoliopsida; Fabales; Fabaceae. The record is from RefSeq and is a predicted model, not a curated record.